This 253-nucleotide ribosomal RNA is filed under the name uncultured bacterium. Its description in RNAcentral is "partial 16S ribosomal RNA". It matches the Rfam family "Bacterial small subunit ribosomal RNA", at positions 524 to 776 of the family's 1533-position model. The record is from RNAcentral.
UACGUAGGUGGCAAGCGUUGUCCGGAUUUACUGGGCGUAAAGAGCGCGCAGGCGGUCGAAUAAGUCGAAUGUGAAAGCCCCCGGCUUAACUGGGGAGGGUCAUUCGAUACUGCUCGACUUGAAGGCAGGAGAGGGUAGUGGAAUUCCCGGUGUAGUGGUGAAAUGCGUAGAUAUCGGAAAGAACACCAACGGCGAAAGCACUCUGCUGGGCCGACACUGACACUGAGAGACGAAAGCUAGGGGAGCGAAUGGG